RNAcentral lists this long non-coding RNA (806 nucleotides) under Triticum aestivum (bread wheat). RNAcentral's name for it is "long non-coding RNA (TAES_LNC024671)". Lineage: Eukaryota; Viridiplantae; Streptophyta; Magnoliopsida; Poales; Poaceae. The record is from RNAcentral.
AAUGCUUGUAUUUCUUAGUUUUUCCACCUACCUAUGGCACAUCAUUUCAAGAAUAUAGUUGUUGAAGCAACUUAUAUGCAAAGCACGACUACUAUCACGACAUCCUUUUUGAGGACAAAGAUAAUUAAUAACACGACAUUCUAUGUCUCAUUGCUAUCUUAUUUAUUUGAUCAUUUUGGGAGCUUCAAUUCCUUGAAUAAUUCAGUGAAUGCCAUCUGCAAUGACCCGUUGUCUGCCAAUGCCAACACUCAUCUAGCCUUCUCCUUCGCCAAUGUCAGCCUUCCACUUAGAUUCUCCCCUUCUUCUCCAUGCCCUCAGCCUUCACAAGUUCCUCGUCAUACUUCUCCAUCACCUCCCCGACAUUCAUAUCAUCCACCACGAAUAUAAUUCAUAACAUUCAGGCGGUAAAGGUCAAUGUACACCAAGCCGGUCAAAUAAAUAGUACUUUAGCAUCUCUCAAGGGAAGUUUCAAAUUUCACCUAAAAAUUUCAAUUAAAGUCAUGUCAAUAAUUUAAUCUUCUACCAAUAUUAAAUACUAUAUGAUAAAUGUGAUAGCUUAAAUUCAAAGUAAUAGAUUGGAUCCUCCCUUCACAAUAUGACUGGUAGAUAGUUUUGAGAGGAAAUCUGCAUAUAUUUUAGCAUAGACUUACCCAAAGAAAAAGUCAUUAUAACCGUUCAACAAAUGACCUAUAACCUCUAAUGUACCGAAGGGGAACAGAUCAGAUGACAUGUUUUUGUAAGUCCUAGGAUACCCAAAAAGCACAUCAUCAUGACAUGUCCUAAGUUGGAAGUGUGACACUUAUGAC